GAUCAUGGCUCAGGACGAACGCUGGCGGCGCGCCUAACACAUGCAAGUCGAACGAGAGAGAGGGAGCUUGCUUCCUCAAUCGAGUGGCGAACGGGUGAGUAACGCGUGAGGAACCUGUCUCAAAGAGGGGGGACAACAGUUGGAAACGACUGCUAAUACCGCAUAAGCCCACGACCCGGCAUCGGGUUGAGGGAAAAGGAGCAAUCCGCUUUGAGAUGGCCUCGCGUCCGAUUAGCUAGUUGGUG
Molecule: ribosomal RNA, 245 nt
Filed under: uncultured bacterium
Lineage: Bacteria
Description: partial 16S ribosomal RNA
Rfam family: Bacterial small subunit ribosomal RNA
Source: RNAcentral